RNAcentral lists this ribosomal RNA (291 nucleotides) under uncultured bacterium. RNAcentral's name for it is "partial 16S ribosomal RNA". It matches the Rfam family "Bacterial small subunit ribosomal RNA", at positions 333 to 635 of the family's 1533-position model. The record is from RNAcentral.
CUAUACCUACGGGAGGCAGCAGUCGAGAAUCCUUCAAAAUGGAGGAGACCCUGAUGGUGCGACGCCGCGUGGGGGAAUGAAGGUCUUCGGAUUGUAAACCCCUGUCGUGUGGGAGCAAAUUAAAAAGAUAGUACCACAAGAGGAAGAGACGGCUAACUCUGUGCCAGCAGCCGCGGUAAUACAGAGGUCUCAAGCGUUGUUCGGAAUCACUGGGCGUAAAGCGUGCGUAGGCUGUUUCGUAAGUCGUGUGUGAAAGGCGCGGGCUCAACCCGCGGACGGCCCAUGAUACUG